UACAGAGGUGGCAAGCGUUGUUCGGAAUUACUGGGCGUAAAGGGCGCGUAGGCGGCCUUCUUAGUCGGACGUGAAAUCCCCAGGCUCAACUUGGGAACUGCGUCCGAUACUGGAUGGCUUGAGUGCGGGAGAGGGAUGUGGAAUUCCAGGUGUAGCGGUGAAAUGCGUAGAUAUCUGGAGGAACACCGGUGGCGAAGGCGGCAUCCUGGACCGACACUGACGCUGAGGCGCGAAAGCUAGGGGAGCAAACGGGAUUAGAUACCCCGGUAGUCCUAGCCCUAAACGAUGAGUGCUUGGUGUGGCGGGUAUCGAUCCCUGCCGUGCCGAAGCUAACGCAUUAAGCACUCCGCCUGGGGAGUACGGUCGCAAGGCUGAA
This 376-nucleotide ribosomal RNA is filed under the name uncultured bacterium. RNAcentral describes it as "bacterial SSU rRNA". It matches the Rfam family "Bacterial small subunit ribosomal RNA", at positions 524 to 898 of the family's 1533-position model. The record is from RNAcentral.